This is a long non-coding RNA of Pelmatolapia mariae (spotted tilapia), 915 nucleotides long. RefSeq lists it as uncharacterized. The transcript is spliced from 3 exons. The record is from RefSeq and is a predicted model, not a curated record. Lineage: Eukaryota; Metazoa; Chordata; Actinopteri; Cichliformes; Cichlidae.
CUGCAACCUGUGGAGGUAACUGUGGCGGAGGUCCGCGUCUGCAUCUGUUUUUGUUUUCUCACAGCGAUGCAUCCAUCCAUAAUUAAGACUGGAUGCCAGUUAAAGAGUACAACUGGGAACGGUUUACAGAUGGGCUGCCCUCUGUGUCCCAAAUUCAACACCACACGUGCAAAGACCAUGUACAGACAUCUGGAGUCCCACAUCAAAAAUGCAGUUUAUUUCCAAGAUAUAAACAUUUGCAGAUGCAACCUGCCUUGCCGAGACACAGGUCAUUACCACUGCCCGCACUGUGAGAAAACAAUCAUGCGCAAAGAGGAUAUGACAUUACAGGUAACUGGAUGUCGAAACACAUGUGAUACAGUGCCACCUUCGGCAGAAAUCAGGGCACUUGCAUCAUCGUCAUCAUCCUUUUUCACUCCCUGUGCUCCCCAGCAGAGGUCAGCGCAGCCUCCUUUGAAGCGUAACCUUCCCACGUCAGGACUCUGUAAUGUCAGACCAUUGUUACGCAUUUGUGUCACCUGUUGACACUCCACCAUCCUGUCAGCCAAACUCAGCUCCCCCUACAGACGCCUGUAAACCACCUGCCGAGGCGGCACAGACUGAAGCCACAGAGCUGCUCUCUUCACGUGUGAUGUAUUUAAAGUCAGUGAAGUGCCCUCACUGCGCUGUCAUUCUCUACAAAAAGAACUUAUUGGUGCACAUACAAAGAAAACAUGGAAACCGAUCAGACAUUAAAGCUGCAUCUCAUAGUAAAAGCAAAAGUGUUAGUAAAGCUUAUGGCCUCUUUGACUUCCCAAAAGGCAUUCAUGUGUGACUUGGAGGCCUGAGCUGCUUCAGAACAACAGUGGGGGCUGUUCAGUGGAUCAUUGACAGUAUGUGGAGAAAAACACAGUAGAAAAUUUGCUGACACAUAUG